AAAAUGUUUUGGACCGCAGAUUACUUUUCCGAUUUGGUGACCACCUGGAACCGGAUCGAAUUGAAUGAGAAGGAAUAUCAUCCAUACGUAAACUGUAUGCCAGAAAAGCUACGUUUCGAGACAAAAAAUGAAAAUUGGUGAUUACUGCAGCGGUGGCAAAAAAUCCAAACCACAUUCCAUCGUUCAAUACUGCUGCAAUCCAAUCAUCGCAACCGGCAUCCCGAUCUAGCGGAUUCUGUGAAAUAAUUCGUCUAUGUGACGGAUGGUUAAUCAGUGUUGAACGGAUCAAGAAGCACCGAAACUUGAGCAGUAGCUUCACCAGUUCCGAACAGUGUCCGGCGGACAUACAUCCAGCGGC
This is a long non-coding RNA of Aedes aegypti (yellow fever mosquito), 358 nucleotides long. RefSeq lists it as uncharacterized. NCBI's taxonomy places the organism in Eukaryota, Metazoa, Arthropoda, Insecta, Diptera, Culicidae. The record is from RefSeq and is a predicted model, not a curated record. The transcript is spliced from 2 exons.